AUUUCAUCUGUAUUUAUUGCUAUUGUUUACUUUUAGCCUUUUACUAUUUAAAAUGUAAUGUGUGUUGUUUUUCCAUGCAAGCAAUUUUGGACCGACACUGCUAUCUGCCUUCGCUUUCAACCCCGCCAGGCAGAUCUACUCAGAAUAACACUACUUUGCCUUAUUUUUCCUGUUUGGAUAUCUUGCUGAGUUCAAGUUAAAUCAAGUAUUCAGCUGAAAACACAAAAAGGAUAAUAAUAUUAUGCUUUCUUUCUUGGAACGAUGUUGUUGUGAUAGACCGUGCGUGAAAAACAGCAGGGAAUCUGUAUUUAAGUGACCUCAAUAUUAUACGUAAACCUAAAUGUACAUUUUUAGGUGGUGUCGAAAUUGGUCUAUAGCUCUGCCUGAACUGCUGUCCAAUUGGUUUACAAGUCCGGCUGAAGUGACAGGCCAUCAAAAACUGCACAGUAUGACUGAUUCGGAGACGGCCCUCAACACUCGCCCAGUCGUGUCGAGAGGAUCGGUGUCUUUGCAGAUUACACGGAAUUGAGCACCCGGGCCAGACUGACACUUUCCGGAGCCUGUCCGAGACGGAACUCGAGCCGAGGAAUCAUAGGUCCAGGUGGUGUCGAAAUUGGUCUAUAGCUCUGCCUGAACUGCUGUCCAAUUGGUUUACAAGUCCGGCUGAAGUGACAGGCCAUCAAAAACUGCACAGUAUGACUGAUUCGGAGACGGCCCUCAACACUCGCCCAGUCGUGUCGAGAGGAUCGGUGUCUUUGCAGAUUACACGGAAUUGAGCACCCGGGCCAGACUGACACUUUCCGGAGCCUGUCCGAGACGGAACUCGAGCCGAGGAAUCAUAGGUCCAGGUGUGACAGAAAACUUAAAGCUCAUGUCUGACGAUGACUUUUUUUGAGUCAGGAAGUAAAGUGUGUUGUUUUCCCAUGCAAGCAAGCCCUUUUGUUGGGUCAAAUGACAUCAGAAAUGCUGCUUCUACAUGGAUUUUACCUAAAAUGUGCCAAAAAAUAUAAAAAAAAGUUUGUUCGGAUCUUGUUCAAAACCUGCUAUGAUGCACAUAUAAUGCCAUUGAUGAUUUGUUUUCACUUAUUAAGUCAUAUGUUACAUCUGCUUUGCUAUUAGAAUCGAAAGUGAUGCCUUGUAUGGAGUCUAAGUGCUGUAUGUAUGAUGUAACCAAGGUCGGCUUUUCUACCUUAAUUCUUGACGCGAAACGCUGUUACGCGCGAGGCUUUCAACGUCAACUUUAAUGAAUAAAUCUGUGUGUCAUGGUACUGGAACUUUGUGAUCUUUUUUAAAACAGAUUAUACCUAUGG
This is a long non-coding RNA of Dreissena polymorpha, 1310 nucleotides long. RefSeq lists it as uncharacterized. The transcript is spliced from 4 exons. Lineage: Eukaryota; Metazoa; Mollusca; Bivalvia; Myida; Dreissenidae. The record is from RefSeq and is a predicted model, not a curated record.